This 1773-nucleotide long non-coding RNA is filed under the name Theobroma cacao (cacao). RNAcentral's name for it is "long non-coding RNA (TCAC_LNC005233)". Lineage: Eukaryota; Viridiplantae; Streptophyta; Magnoliopsida; Malvales; Malvaceae. The record is from RNAcentral.
UCUCCAAAUAUUCGGCCAAGCAAGGAAGAGAGGGAAAGAAAGGAAGAACAAACCCUAGGUGAAGAAUUUCAAGAGAAAAAGUGUGAAAAAUCAAGGAAAACAAGUGAAAAAGGUAGGAUUUUUCAACUUAAGCUUGAAAUCUAUUUUCCUUAAGCAUUUUUCCUUAUUUUUCAUGCUUAAAUUACAUGUUUUCAUGAUGAAUUCAUGGCUGGUCAAAAUGGGUAAGGAGAGAGAAAGAUGUUGGAUUGAUUUGAUUUUAAGAUAUGUUAGUGUUUUUAGUUAGUUUAGCAUAUUUAGAAGCAAAACAACAAGAAAGAAAUCUAUUUUCCCCAUGAAUCUUCAUUGGUCGAAUCUUCCUUGAUGUGUGUGGGUGAUGGAUUGUUAUUAUGUCAAGAGAAAUGGCUUAGAAAAUGAUGAAUAAUGGUAAGAAAAUUAAGUAGGAAAAAUCACGGUGUUAGUGCACUAUAAUGGCCGAAUUUUUCCAUGAAGAAAUGGGAGGGUUUUGAUGCUGAAAUUGGUGUUAUUUGAAUAAUUUUUGGUGAAUUGAGGUACUAGAAAUGAAAUGGAGCAAUUUGGAGCCAAAUCGGACACAAUUGUCAUUUAAUCGGGUAAUAGGUCGAAUUAGGUUAGCACCGCAUUUAAGCAGUAGUCGGAUAAGUUGCAUAUCAUAUCAUGCAUAUACACCGAGUCUGAAUUGAUUUAUAAUGGUCAAACAUUAAUGUGGUGAAUUAUGUAUUGUACAUUGUGGAUAGGUGGUGAGCAAAUUACACUAGUAAAAGUACUGAGAUUGUGCUUGAAGACUGAGAUUAGGAAUACAUUGACUCCCAAAACUGUGAGUAAACUUAUUAUCGUCUUAAUUAUCUAGAGUAGUUUUAUACAAUUGUGUAAUUUUAUAAAAAAUGGGUUUAAAUGGUAAAUUGCUAUGUUUUAGGAGAAAUUGUGAUAUUAUAAAAUGAUUUAUAAAUUUCUAAAAAAUUGAAUACUGAUUUUGAAAAUAGAGUAAUUGGAGACUAUCUGCUUGUGUUAUAAAUUGUGUUUUAAAUUAUAUGGCUUAUAGCAAUAUGUGAGCAUGAAUGGCAAAGUCGGUAUUUGUAUCAAAAUUAUAUAUAUUAUGUAUUCAGCCUUGAGAGGCUAGAUUGCGAUAAAUUGCCAUGUCAUGCAGAUAAAGAUUUUAUAAAUCAGGUGGUAGAUAAAAUAAUCCAUAGUCACUGCAGUAGUGGGGGUUUUCGUGGUCUGCCUAUGAGAGGGGCAGGAUAACCUAAUUAUAUAUUUACCUCCGGGGGGGAGAUGUUGGAUGAAGUAUCUCUUGAGGUAAAGAUUUGAGUGCACUUCAUGUGGACCAUCGCGUGAGAGUGAGACUCAGCCAUUGCCAAGGCAUGGCUAGAAUUUCGGAUGUAAAGACAUUUAACAGCCUUGGUGGUCUCGGUCAGAUGCCUAGGCCAAGGCAUCCCCGGGAAUGAUUUUUGGCAGGAGCCAAGUUUUGUGAGAUAUAUAAGCCAUGUUGAUUACUUGAGUAAACUCAAUAUUCAUGUUAUGAAACAUAUAUUGGAAAGAAUAUUUUAAUUCGUCUCCAUUUACUCGCCUUUAGAUAGUUUAGAUGGUGUCUGUUUCCUCACUGGGAUUAUGUAAUCUCACCCCUCUUCCUAUCCAUUUUUCAAGCUCAGGACAGUUUGUUGAUAGUUGAUUAAGACGAGAAUUAAUCUCGGAGUUGCAUCCUAAAAAGUAAGGGUUCGUAGCCCUACACCUUUUUGGUCAGUUAGGGGCUCAUGUGUC